Long non-coding RNA from Acromyrmex echinatior (Panamanian leafcutter ant), 996 nucleotides. NCBI's taxonomy places the organism in Eukaryota, Metazoa, Arthropoda, Insecta, Hymenoptera, Formicidae. The record is from RefSeq and is a predicted model, not a curated record.
AGUUAUCGUUCCUGUAAAAAUUAUGUCGAACGCGUAAUUCCUAAUUACUCCAGACUGGUGUUUAAAGAACACUUUCGAAUAUUCCCCGAAACUUUUUAGAUGGAUAGAUAUUAUCUUUAGUUGGCAAAGGAUUAUAAGCAAUGAGUGAUCGAAAACAAAUUUCUGCAGAGAAACAAUUACUUAUUGCGAUUUGGUUUAUGGCAACUUCUGAUUCCUAUAGAUAUUGGUAUGUGUAAAAUUUGGAAUCGGUAAAGCCACUGCUGUUCGAGCUUUGAGGCAAGUUCACUUGUUCUUCAUUGCAUCGCACCUCGUUUCAUCAAAUGACCGCAAGGCGAUACUGCCAUACAAGUAAUUGAACAAUUUAAAACAAAAUGUGGCUUUCCAAAUGUAAUAGGCGCUAUUGAUGGGACGCAUAUUAAAAUCCGAGCACCAGUAGAGGAUGCUUCGUACAUCAAUCGAAAAGAAUUUUCAUCUAUAAAUGUACAAGUUGUAUGUGAUUCUCUGUGGCCUUUUCACACACUGCUACACAGGACAAGUAGGCUCCGUACAUGAUGCUAGAAAUUCUCUAGUGCAUAGUGGCACAUUUUUUGAACAUACUAAAUGUUUAUUUUCCAAAUAACUCCCACAUUAUUGGCGAUACUACUUAUGGUAUUCAUCAUCAUGUGAUGGUACCAUUUAGAAACCACGGACGUCUUUCACUCAGACAAUAAAAUUUUAUAAUAAUUAUUGUUAUUCGGCUACCAGAAUGGAAAUAGAAUGAGUUAUUGAGUUACUGAAAAUACGAUUCAGAAUUUUAUUGGAUUGUCUGCCUUUAAGAUGUAAAGAAGGUACUGAAGUUCAUCAUUGCAUGCUAUGUUCUACAUAAUAUUUGUAUUUUGAAAAAUGACGUAAUGCCAAUUACAGUAUGCGUUAUAAAUGAGGAAAUCGGACCAAUUAAUCGUGGUGAUAUAGCUGUAAUGGGAAAUGAAAAAAGAAUAGUAAUUAUGAACACUUUAA